This is a long non-coding RNA of Octopus sinensis (East Asian common octopus), 89 nucleotides long. RefSeq lists it as uncharacterized. The record is from RefSeq and is a predicted model, not a curated record. Lineage: Eukaryota; Metazoa; Mollusca; Cephalopoda; Octopoda; Octopodidae. The transcript has 3 exons.
AUGCACAUAUCACAUGAUCACAUGAUCGACCAGACAAUCGGAUGCUGUUAAACAUCGCUGUUCACAAUGCGCUUUUAUUGCAUUGUUUU